ACAGCUGGAUAGAGCGUGUGUUCAGCCAUUGCGGUAGCAUUGUGUACAUCAGCAUCCCCCGGUGCAAGUCCACAGGGCAGCCUAUAGGAUUCGCCUUUGUGGAGUUUGAGACUGUGGAACAGGCCCUGAAAGCCAUAGAGUCCAUGAGUGAGAUCCCACCCAGAACUACCAUGGAGUAUGAUGUCUCCGCUACUGCCCCCCCACGAGACUAGAAAACGGCCCAACUCACAUCUGAUGUUGCCGAGGGCUGUAAGAAGGAGACUCCUAAAGGCCCUCAGUUUGAGAGCGGGCUGAUUGUUUCCAUCGAUCAUUUAAAAAGGAAAUGGAAUGCAAAUGGAACACAACAUCAGAGUAACACUGAAACACCCCCUUCAGAUCGGGCACUCCCUCUGAAAUGAUGAGACACGUCAUAAAGCCCUGACCAUCCCCUGAACCGGUUUUUCACCCUACUCCCAUCUGGCCGCAGAUACAGAGCCCUGGACUGGAAAAAAGCGCACUUUAAGAAAAGUUUUGUACCCUCAGCCAUCACUGCACUUAACAAACUCUGGUGACAAUAAUCCAUCCCCUCCAUUCUUUGUGUUUAUGUUGUCUGCACUGUCCACUUUUGCUUGCACUGUGUUGGGGGGAGGGGAACUAAGGGAGGGGGUGUAUGGUGGG
This is a long non-coding RNA of Sardina pilchardus (European sardine), 657 nucleotides long. RefSeq lists it as uncharacterized. The record is from RefSeq and is a predicted model, not a curated record. Lineage: Eukaryota; Metazoa; Chordata; Actinopteri; Clupeiformes; Clupeidae. The transcript is spliced from 5 exons.